UACGUAGGGUGCAAGCGUUAAUCGGAAUUACUGGGCGUAAAGCGUGCGCAGGCGGCUUUGCAAGACAGAUGUGAAAUCCCCGGGCUUAACCUGGGAACUGCAUUUGUGACUGCAUGGCUGGAGUGCGGCAGAGGGGGAUGGAAUUCCGCGUGUAAGCAGUGAAAUGCGUAGAUAUGCGGAGGAACACCGAUGGCGAAGGCAUCCCCUGGGCCUGCACUGACGCUCAUGCACGAAAGCGUGGGGAGCAAACAGGAUUA
This 257-nucleotide ribosomal RNA is filed under the name uncultured bacterium. RNAcentral's name for it is "partial 16S ribosomal RNA". It matches the Rfam family "Bacterial small subunit ribosomal RNA", at positions 524 to 780 of the family's 1533-position model. The record is from RNAcentral.